This 403-nucleotide ribosomal RNA is filed under the name uncultured bacterium. RNAcentral's name for it is "partial 16S ribosomal RNA". It matches the Rfam family "Bacterial small subunit ribosomal RNA", at positions 29 to 526 of the family's 1533-position model. The record is from RNAcentral.
AUUGAACGCUGGCGGCAGGCCUAACACAUGCAAGUCGAGCGAGCGGCGGACGGGGGAGUAAUGUAUGGGGACUGCCCGAUAGAGGGGGAUAACUACUGGAAACGGUAGCUAAUACCGCAUACGAUCGGAUAACCCAGAUGGGAUUAGCUAGUAGGUGAGGUAAUGGCUCACCUAGGCGACGAUCCCUAGCUGGUCUGAGAGGAUGAUCAGCAACACUGGGACGGAGACACGGCACAGUCUCCUACGGAGGCCGAAGUGGGAAAUGUUGCACAGUGGGCGCAAGCAUGAUGAAGCCAGGCCGUGUGUAUGAAGAAGGCCCUAGGGGUGAAAAGUACUUUCAGUCGGGAGGCGUUACCGAGAGAAGAAGCACUGGCUAACUCCGUGCCAGCAGCCGCGGUAAUAC